RNAcentral lists this transfer RNA (77 nucleotides) under Planctomycetota bacterium. Its description in RNAcentral is "Planctomycetes bacterium (sediment metagenome) tRNA-Lys". It matches the Rfam family "tRNA". Rfam says of the family: Transfer RNA (tRNA) molecules are approximately 80 nucleotides in length. The record is from RNAcentral. Lineage: Bacteria; Pseudomonadati; Planctomycetota.
GCGCCCUUAGCUCAGUCUGGUAGAGCAGCUGACUCUUAAUCAGCGGGUCCCAGGUUCAAAUCCUGGAGGGCGUACCA